CCUACGGGGUGCAGCAAUGAGGAAUAUUGGUCAAUGGGCGGGAGCCUGAACCAGCCAAGCCGCGUGAGGGAAGAAGGUACAGCGUAUCGUAAACCUCUUUUGUCAGGGAACAAAGGCGGGGACUAGUCCCCGGAUGAGGGUACCUGAAGAAAAAGCAUCGGCUAACUCCGUGCCAGCAGCCGCGGUAAUACGGAGGAUGCGAGCGUUAUCCGGAUUUAUUGGGUUUAAAGGGUGCGCAGGCGGCCUGUUAAGUCAGCGGUAAAAGCCCGGGGCUCAACCCCGGCGAGCCGUUGAAACUGGCGGGCUGGAGUUGGAGAGAAGUACGCGGAAUGCGCGGUGUAGCGGUGAAAUGCAUAGAUAUCACACAGAACACCGAUUGCGAAGGCAUCUCACGAAUCCGCGAUUGACGCUGAUGCACGAAAGCGUGGGUAUCAAACAGGAUUAGAUACCCCUGUAGUC
This 459-nucleotide ribosomal RNA is filed under the name uncultured bacterium. Its description in RNAcentral is "partial 16S ribosomal RNA". It matches the Rfam family "Bacterial small subunit ribosomal RNA", at positions 338 to 795 of the family's 1533-position model. The record is from RNAcentral.